Pelobates cultripes (western spadefoot toad) is the source of this 221-nucleotide non-coding RNA. The record is from the annotation of a GenBank genome assembly. Lineage: Eukaryota; Metazoa; Chordata; Amphibia; Anura; Pelobatidae.
GGGAGCCAUGGUGUCAGUGUCUGUAUGGUAUAUGGUAUAUAGGAUAUAUCACUAUCAGUGUCUAUGGGAGCCAUGGUGUCAGUGUCUGUAUGAUAUAUGGUAUAUAGGAUAUAUCACUAUCAGUGUCUAUGGGAGCCAUGGUGUCAGUGUCUGUAUGAUAUACGGUAUAUAGGAUAUAUCACUAUCAGUGUCUAUGGGAGCCAUGGUGUCAGUGUCUGUAU